Molecule: RNase P RNA, 293 nt
Filed under: Gammaproteobacteria bacterium
Lineage: Bacteria; Pseudomonadati; Pseudomonadota; Gammaproteobacteria
Description: partial RNase P RNA component class A
Rfam family: Bacterial RNase P class A
About the family: Ribonuclease P (RNase P) is a ubiquitous endoribonuclease, found in archaea, bacteria and eukarya as well as chloroplasts and mitochondria.
Source: RNAcentral
GGAGUUGGCCAGGCAAUCGCGCCAGAACGUUUACGUUUUGGGGAGGAAAGUCCGGGCUCCAUAGGACAGAGUGCCAGGUAACGCCUGGGGGGUGAAAGCCUACGGAAAGUGCAGCAGAAAAUAAACCGCCUGGAUUUAAUCUAGUAUUAAAUCUCGGUAAGGGUGAAAUGGUGUCGGUAAGAGCGCACCGCGCUGGUGGUAACAUCAGUGGCAGGGUAAACCCCACUCAAAGCAAGGCCAAAUAGGGUUCCUUAAAGCCUUUUUAUAAAAGACUUUAUGGCGUGGCUCGCGUU